RNAcentral lists this ribosomal RNA (1177 nucleotides) under Campylobacter jejuni. Its description in RNAcentral is "bacterial LSU rRNA". It matches the Rfam family "Bacterial large subunit ribosomal RNA", at positions 1 to 1188 of the family's 2925-position model. Lineage: Bacteria; Pseudomonadati; Campylobacterota; Epsilonproteobacteria; Campylobacterales; Campylobacteraceae. The record is from RNAcentral.
GGUAAAAAAAAGGUAAGCUACUAAGAGCGAAUGGUGGAUGCCUUGACUGGUAAAGGCGAUGAAGGACGUACUAGACUGCGAUAAGCUACGGGGAGCUGUCAAGAAGCUUUGAUCCGUAGAUUUCCGAAUGGGGCAACCCAAUGUAUAGAGAUAUACAUUACCUAUAUAGGAGCGAACGAGGGGAAUUGAAACAUCUUAGUACCCUCAGGAAAAGAAAUCAAUAGAGAUUGCGUCAGUAGCGGCGAGCGAAAGCGCAAGAGGGCAAACCCAGUGCUUGCACUGGGGGUUGUAGGACUGCAAUGUGCAAGAGCUGAGUUUAGCAGAACAUUCUGGAAAGUAUAGCCAUAGAGGGUGAUAGUCCCGUAUGCGAAAAACAAAGCUUAGCUAGCAGUAUCCUGAGUAGGGCGGGACACGAGAAAUCCUGUCUGAAUCCGGGUCGACCACGAUCCAACCCUAAAUACUAAUACCAGAUCGAUAGUGCACAAGUACCGUGAGGGAAAGGUGAAAAGAACUGAGGUGAUCAGAGUGAAAUAGAACCUGAAACCAUUUGCUUACAAUCAUUCAGAGCCCUAUGUAGCAAUACAGGGUGAUGGACUGCCUUUUGCAUAAUGAGCCUGCGAGUUGUGGUGUCUGGCAAGGUUAAGCAAACGCGAAGCCGUAGCGAAAGCGAGUCUGAAUAGGGCGCUUAGUCAGAUGCUGCAGACCCGAAACGAAGUGAUCUAUCCAUGAGCAAGUUGAAGCUAGUGUAAGAACUAGUGGAGGACUGAACCCAUAGGCGUUGAAAAGCCCCGGGAUGACUUGUGGAUAGGGGUGAAAGGCCAAUCAAACUUCGUGAUAGCUGGUUCUCUCCGAAAUAUAUUUAGGUAUAGCGUUGUGUCGUAAUAUAAGGGGGUAGAGCACUGAAUGGGCUAGGGCAUACACCAAUGUACCAAACCCUAUCAAACUCCGAAUACCUUAUAUGUAAUCACAGCAGUCAGGCGGCGAGUGAUAAAAUCCGUCGUCAAGAGGGAAACAACCCAGACUACCAGCUAAGGUCCCUAAAUCUUACUUAAGUGGAAAACGAUGUGAAGUUACUUAAACAACCAGGAGGUUGGCUUAGAAGCAGCCAUCCUUUAAAGAAAGCGUAAUAGCUCACUGGUCUAGUGAUUUUGCGCGGAAAAUAUAACGGGGCUAAAGU